GUCGAACGGUAACAGGAAGAAGCUUGCUUCUUUGCUGACGAGUGGCGGACGGGUGAGUAAUGUCUGGGAAACUGCCUGAUGGAGGGGGAUAACUACUGGAAACGGUAGCUAAUACCGCAUAACGUCGCAAGACCAAAGAGGGGGACCUUCGGGCCUCUUGCCAUCGGAUGUGCCCAGAUGGGAUUAGCUAGUAGGUGGGGUAACGGCUCACCUAGGCGACGAUCCCUAGCUGGUCUGAGAGGAUGACCAGCCACACUGGAACUGAGACACGGUCCAGACUCCUACGGGAGGCAGCAGUGGGGAAUAUUGCACAAUGGGCGCAAGCCUGAUGCAGCCAUGCCGCGUGUAUGAAGAAGGCCUUCGGGUUGUAAAGUACUUUCAGCGGUGAAAAGCUCUGUUAAUCGGGACGAAAGGCCUUCUUGCGAAUAGUGAGAAGGAUUGACGGUACCGGAAUAGAAAGCCACGGCUAACUACGUGCCAGCAGCCGCGGUAAUACGUAGGUGGUAAGCGUUGUCCGGAAUUAUUGGGCGUAAAGCGCGCGCAGGCGGAUAGGCCAGCCUGUCUUAAAAGUUCGGUGCUUAACCCCGUGAUGGGAUGGAAACUGCCAAUCUAGAGUAUCGGAGAGGAAAGUGGAAUUCCUGGUGUAGCGGUGAAAUGCGUAGAGAUCUGGAGGAAUACCGGUGGCGAAGGCGGCCCCCUG
Molecule: ribosomal RNA, 700 nt
Filed under: uncultured bacterium
Lineage: Bacteria
Description: bacterial SSU rRNA
Rfam family: Bacterial small subunit ribosomal RNA
Source: RNAcentral